GUGCGGCUAGCUCAACGUCAGAGCACCUGGAGACCCGCUCUCAGGGCACUCGGGAGAUGUCGGUUCAAUUCCGGCACCGCACU
This 83-nucleotide transfer RNA is filed under the name Streptomyces sp. ok210. Its description in RNAcentral is "tRNA_Pseudo_???". It matches the Rfam family "tRNA". Rfam says of the family: Transfer RNA (tRNA) molecules are approximately 80 nucleotides in length. Their secondary structure includes four short double-helical elements and three loops (D, anti-codon, and T loops). Lineage: Bacteria; Bacillati; Actinomycetota; Actinomycetes; Kitasatosporales; Streptomycetaceae. The record is from RNAcentral.